UUUCCGUAGGUGAACCUGCGGAAGGAUCAUUAUCGUAAAACCGAGGUGCGAGGGCUGUCGCUGACCUUUUCGGUCGUGCACGCCCGAGCGCUCUCACACAAUCCAUCUCACCCCUUGUGCACCACCGCGUGGGUCCCUUUCUGGCUCGUCCGGAGGGGGGCUCGCGGUUUCACACAAACUUGAAGUAGUGUAGAAUGUCCUUUUUUUGCGAUAACACGCAAUCAAUACAACUUUCAACAACGGAUCUCUUGGCUCUC
Molecule: unclassified non-coding RNA, 257 nt
Filed under: plant metagenome
Description: partial contains small subunit ribosomal RNA, internal transcribed spacer 1, and 5.8S ribosomal RNA
Source: RNAcentral